AGGCUAGAAAAUUGGGCAAUGGGGGAAACCCUGACCCAGCGACGCCGCGUGCAGGAAGAAGCCCUUCGGGGUGUAAACUGCUGUCGUGCGGGGCGAAGGGCUCAUAGGUGAAUAAUCUAUGGGCUUGACGGUACCGCAGGAGGAAGCCCAGGCUAACCUCGUGCCAGCAGCCGCGGUAAUACGGGGUGGGCAAGCGUUGCCCGGAAUUACUGGGUUUAAAGGGGGUGUAGGCGGCCGGGAGAGUCAGGUGUGUAAUCCAACCGCUCAACGGUUGGGCUGCAUCUGAUACUUCCUGGCUAGAGGGCGUUAGAGGAGAGCGGAACUCCCGGUGUAGCGGUGAAAUGCGUAGAUAUCGGGAGGAACGCCGGUGGCGAAGGCGGCUCUCUGGGGCGUUCCUGACGCUGAGGCCCGAAAGCUGGGGGAGCGAAAGGGAUUAGAUACCCCUGUAGUCCCAGCCGUAAACGAUGGGCACUAGACGUUCCCCUGUAGGGGGGAGUGUCGAAGGGAAACUGAUAAGUGCCCCACCUGGGGAGUACGCCCGCAAGGGUGAAACUCAAAGGAAUUGACGGGGGCCCGCACAAGCGGUGGAGCGCGUGGUUUAAUUCGACGCUAAGCGAAGAACCUUACCUGGGCUUGACAUGCUGGUGGUACCCUGGUGGAAACACUGGGGGACCUCCCGCGAGGGAGGAGCCAGCACAGGUGCUGCACGGCUGUCGUCAGCUCGUGCCGUGAGGUGUUGGGUUAAGUCCCGCAACGAGCGCAACCCCUGCCCUUAGUUGCCACAGCAUCCAAGAGGUGGCUGGGCACUCUAAGGGGACUGCCGCCGAUGAGGCGGAGGAAGGUGGGGAUGACGUCAAGUCCGUGUGGCCUUUAUGUCCAGGGCUACACACGCGCUACAAUGGAUGGUACAAUGGGCUUAGCGACCCCGCGAGGGGGAGCGAAUCCCUUAAAACCAUCCCCAGUUCGGAUUGAGGUCUGCAACCCGACCUCAUGAAGACGGAAUCGCUAGUAAUCGCCUAUCAGCAUGGGGCGGUGAAUACGUUCCCGGGCCUUGUACACACCGCCCGUCACGCCAUGGGAGCCGGGGGCACCUGAAGUCGCUGGCCCAACCCCGCAAGGGGAGGGAGGCGCCUAGGGUGAAACCGGUGACUGGGGCG
Molecule: ribosomal RNA, 1157 nt
Filed under: uncultured bacterium
Lineage: Bacteria
Description: bacterial SSU rRNA
Rfam family: Bacterial small subunit ribosomal RNA
Source: RNAcentral